UUGAACGCUGGCGGCAUGCCUUACACAUGCAAGUCGAACGGCAGCACGGGGGCAACCCUGGUGGCGAGUGGCGAACGGGUGAGUAAUGCAUCGGAACGUGCCCUGAAGUGGGGGAUAACGUAGCGAAAGUUACGCUAAUACCGCAUAUUCUGUGAGCAGGAAAGCGGGGGAUCGCAAGACCUCGCGCGUUUGGAGCGGCCGAUAUCUGAUUAGCUAGAUGGUGAGGUAAAGGCUCACCAUGGCGACGAUCAGUAGCUGGUCUGAGAGGAUGAUCAGCCACACUGGAACUGAGACACGGUCCAGACUCCUACGGGAGGCAGCAGUGGGGAAUUUUGGACAAUGGGCGAAAGCCUGAUCCAGCCAUUCCGCGUGAGUGAAGAAGGCCUUCGGGUUGUAAAGCUCUUUCGGCAGGAACGAAACGGCGGGGUCUAAUACACCUCGUUAAUGACGGUACCUGAAGAAGAAGCACCGGCUAACUACGU
Molecule: ribosomal RNA, 482 nt
Filed under: uncultured bacterium
Lineage: Bacteria
Description: partial 16S ribosomal RNA
Rfam family: Bacterial small subunit ribosomal RNA
Source: RNAcentral